Molecule: ribosomal RNA, 201 nt
Filed under: uncultured bacterium
Lineage: Bacteria
Description: partial 16S ribosomal RNA
Rfam family: Bacterial small subunit ribosomal RNA
Source: RNAcentral
UACGAAGGGGGCUAGCGUUGCUCGGAAUCACUGGGCGUAAAGAGCGCGCAGGCGGUCGUUCAAGUCGAGUGUGAAAGCCCCCGGCUCAACUGGGGAGGGUCACUCGAUACUGAUCGACUCGAAGGCAGGAGAGGGAAGUGGAAUUCCCGGUGUAGUGGUGAAAUGCGUAGAUAUCGGGGAGGAACACCAGUGGCGAAGGCG